This 317-nucleotide unclassified non-coding RNA is filed under the name Melitaea cinxia (Glanville fritillary). Its description in RNAcentral is "misc RNA ENSMCXG00005020320.1". The record is from RNAcentral. Lineage: Eukaryota; Metazoa; Arthropoda; Insecta; Lepidoptera; Nymphalidae.
UAAAAAAAAAAAAAAAAUUCAUUACUCAGUCAUAAUAUAAAAAAAAAAAAAAAAAAAAAAAAAAAAAAAAAAAAAAAAAAAAAAAAAAAAAAAAAAAAAAAAUUGUAAAUCAAUAAAACACAUAAAUGUAUAAUCAAAAAAAAAAGAUCAAUAUAUUCAUAAAAAAAAAAAAAAAAAAAAAAAAAAAAAAAAAAAAAAAAAAAAAAAAAAAAAAAACUCUGUAAAUCAAUAAAAAACAUACAUGUAUAAUCAAAAAAGAUCAAUAUACUCAUAAAAAAAAAAAAAAAAAAAAAAAAAAAAAAAAAAAAAAAAAAAAC